GCUCGUAGUUGGAUUUCUGUGGGGACGGAGCGGCCGGCCGCAACUUGCGGUUCGAGCUAGCGCUUUCCCUACAUCCUGCCGCGAACCGUGCUACCAUUAGUUUGGUGGCGCCGGGGAUCGGCUCGUUUACUUUGAGAAAAAUAGAGUGUUCAAAGCAGGCCACACGCCUUGAAUAAGUUAGCAUGGAAUAAUAAUAAAGGACUUCGGUUCUAUUUUGUUGGUGUUCGGGACUGAAGUAAUGAUUGAUAGGGACAGUUGGGGCGGUCAGUAUUCCAAAGCGAGAGGUGAAAUUCUUAGACCUUCGGAAGACUAACAGCUGCGAAAGCGUUCCGCAAGGAUGUUCCCUUUGAUCAAGAACGAAAGUUGGGGGAUCGAAGACGAUCAGAUACCGUCGUAGUCUCAACUAUAAACUAUACCAGCUAGGGAUCGGCCAACGUUAAAUUAUUCGACUUGGUCGGCACCUUAUGAGAAAUCAAAGCAUCUGGGUUCCGGGGGGAGUAUGGUCGCAAGGCUGAAACUUAAAGGAAUUGACGGAAGGGCACCACCAGCCGUGGAGCCUGUGGCUUAAUUUGACUCAACACGGGAAAACUUACCAGGUCCAGACAUAGUAAGGAUUGACAGAUUGAUAGCUCUUUCUUGAUUCUGUGGGUGGUGGUGCAUGGCCGUUCUUAGUUGGUGGAGUGAUUUGUCUGGUUAAUUCCGUUAACGAACGAGACCCCAGCCUGCUAAAUAGCGCGGUUGAGCUUUGCUCGGCGCGAGCUUCUUAGAGGGACUAUGAUGCGCGAUAGCACAUGGAAGUUUGGGGCAAUAACAGGUCUGUGAUGCCCUUAGAUGUUCUGGGCCGCACACGGACUACACUGGUGCUUUCAAUAAGUUAUAUCUGUAUUCUUGGUCGAAAGAUCUGGUAAAUCUUUGAAAUUGCACCGUGCUUGGGAUAGACAUUGCAAUUUUUUGUCUUCAACGAGAAUUCCUAGUAAACGCAAGUCAUCAACUUGCAUUGAUUACGUCCCUGCCCUUUGUACACACCGCCCGUCGCUCUACCGAUUGAUGAUUCGAUAGCCCUUGGGAUUGAUUGGAAUAUCUUUUUUAAGAUUUCGUUAAAACUUGUUCAAUC
This 1114-nucleotide ribosomal RNA is filed under the name uncultured eukaryote. RNAcentral's name for it is "bacterial SSU rRNA". It matches the Rfam family "Eukaryotic small subunit ribosomal RNA", at positions 626 to 1764 of the family's 1831-position model. The record is from RNAcentral.